RNAcentral lists this ribosomal RNA (441 nucleotides) under uncultured bacterium. Its description in RNAcentral is "bacterial SSU rRNA". It matches the Rfam family "Bacterial small subunit ribosomal RNA", at positions 958 to 1398 of the family's 1533-position model. The record is from RNAcentral.
AACGCGAAGAACCUUACCUAGGCUUGACAUGUACCGAAGUCCUUAGAAAUUUGGAUGUGCUCGCAAGAGAGCGGUAACACAGGUGCUGCAUGGCUGUCGUCAGCUCGUGUCGUGAGAUGUUGGGUUAAGUCCCGCAACGAGCGCAACCCUUGUCGUUAGUUGCCAGCAUUUAGUUGGGAACUCUAACGAGACUGCCGUGGUUAACACGGAGGAAGGUGGGGAUGACGUCAAGUCCUCAUGGCCUUUAUGCUUAGGGCUACACACGUGCUACAAUGCAUUCUACAAAGGGCUGCCAACCCGCAAGGGGGAGCCAAUCCCAUAAAAGAAUGCUAAGUUCAGAUUGGGGUCUGCAACUCGACCCCAUGAAGCUGGAAUCGCUAGUAAUCGCGGAUCAGCACGCCGCGGUGAAUACGUUCCCGGGCCUUGUACACACCGUAGUAC